Trachemys scripta elegans is the source of this 2636-nucleotide long non-coding RNA. RefSeq lists it as uncharacterized. NCBI's taxonomy places the organism in Eukaryota, Metazoa, Chordata, Testudines, Emydidae. The record is from RefSeq and is a predicted model, not a curated record. The transcript has 3 exons.
AGCCCACUCUGGAACGACCAGGGUCCUGGCCCGGGUUCAGCGGGGUGGCCCCUACCUGGCUGGGAGGGUCCUUCCCAGGCCCCAUGUCACUAUGGUAACGCCCCCGUGGUGCCACAACGCGGCAGGGGCUCGGCCCCUCAGGGACACGCUGCCCCCUGGCCGCCCGGGAAAUCCUGGAGGCUGCUCAGUGCCCUCUGCCCUUAUUCUUCUUAUGGGGGGAUAUUGCUGCUUAGGGCCCCCAGCGGGCCAGCACUGCCUUUGUGGCCAUGGUCCAGGUCCAUUAUAGAGAUGAAUAGCCUGUUGAUAUUUGCUGCGCUUGUUGCCUGCUGUGAUUAUAAGAGUGUCUUUCAAACUGGAACGUAUGUUGAGAUGUCAGCAUGGCACAUGGGAGUGCUUUGGAGUUUAACAAAAUGAUUAAAGCUGCUACUGGGAAAUGUCAUGUUUUCCUAUUACGGAUGUUACUGUGGAUUAAGUGGAAAGGAAACUGCACUAGAUGUUACUGAAAGGAGAAGCAUAAAAUUCUGUCUAGCUACAGAAAACACUUUUCUGGACAAGAGCCAGCUACUAUCUGUCUGGGAUCGGGAAGAAAUUUCCCUUAUGGGCAGGUUAUUUUGUAAUUGUCCCUUAUGGGUUUUUUGUACCUUCCUCUGAAAUAUCUGAUACUGGUCACUGUCUGAAACCUCUAUUCUUCACAAUCACAUUCAAGGGCACAAGCUUAACUCUAACCUUAGCAAAUUUAAGAUACUCUACUAGGAGGCGUGCUGUCACUUUAAAAGUCUAACCAAAAAGGUGGGGGGUAAGAGGGUAAAGUGUCUAACUUUAACUGAGGGACUGGAUGUGUGCAUCAUGGGUACUUGUAUGCUGGCACUGAAAGAGGGUUUAUUGUGCAGACGACAAGUAUAUAACUGUAUUUGGGUAUAGUGGGGUUUGGGUGGUAAGGCAUGUGAAUUGUGGUUGUCUUGGGUAUUCAUUUUGCUUUACCUGAUGGUGGCCUUUUCCCUAUAAGGCUUAUUUAACUUUUUUCUCCAGUUUAGGGUUGAGUUAGGGGAUGAAGGUGUGAGAUGACAAGAGUAAAAUAUCCCAACUCUCGUAUAUAAUGCAGUGUAGAGAAAAUUUUGAAACUUUGUGACCCAGGCCUGAUUUUUGUAUGUUUCUCCCUCAAGGUGCUGCUAUAUCCCUGACUGCUGUCAAGGCAAACAAAGAGAAAAGAACUUUAAGCUGGUACUGACGAAAUAGAAGUUCAGCAUCAGCGAUGGAAAAAUCAUCUGCAGUGAGUACUUUUCUGCUGCAUGGACAAAUUGCAUUGCAGUUUCUUUGUUGCCCUCAAGUCCAUCUCCAUUUUAUCUUUGGAUUAAUGUUAGCGGGGCCUGGAAAAGCCAAAAGAGUGAAAAUUGUUCAGAGGGCUGGGCUAAUGUAGCUACUUACAGUAUGUGACCAAGGGUAGAAAGAAAUGUCAGCUCUCUGUGGUGAUGCUACUACAAAAACAUCCCAGCGUGCAGUGAUGCCAGGGGGUCGAUUCUUUGCCCCAGAACAGUGCAGUAAACUCAAGAAUAUAAAUUCCAUCCCAAGUUUAAGAUAAUCUCUCUCUCUUGAUAGCCGUAUUGCAUACUGGGAUGUUUUUGCAGCAGCAUCCCCACAUAGAAAGCUGGUUUUUCUCUUCUUUGUAAGCUUGGUCACAUACUGUAAGUAGGUGGUCUAAAAGACCAUUUCUAAGUAAUAUUAAAUGAUAGGCAGACUGAAACAUACACGUGGUAAUACAUAUGCACACACACACAUCAUUGUGGGGGAAUAACAUAAUAAUAAAAUAAUAGUGGAAAAUAGCAUACAAAGGGCCAAAUUCAUCCCUAUGAUAAUUCCACUGACUCCUGCAGAUUUGCAGGAUGUAGUGGCCCAUUGGCUGUUAUUUUCAGUACUGUUUGUACAAUUUCGUCUCUCAGCAUUCAGCACCGUCUCCACCCACUAACUAAAUCAGCUCAUUAAAGCAGGUACAGAAGUGGGCUUGUUAAACUUUUAUAGCAUGUAACCUACUGAAUACUCCAUUGUUUUUCUUUUAAUCUUUCUAAGAAUUCCCACCUCCGAGUGAUCAAACAUUUAUAGCUAUUGUUAUCUUUUCGGUGGCUCAUACACAAGGCCUUCAGUUGAAACCCCACCCGCUUGUGGCAAGCAAGAAAUUCCACCCUGCGGUGGCUGCCUAAGUAACGAGCACAGCUAGAGAUAAGGAAUGUACACCGUGAAACAGCAACGUAAAAACCUUCACCACGUCAACCAUGCUGCACAUUAUGGAGGUUGACACUGUCAAAUCUUGUAGUGUAGCUACAAAUCAAAGUGAUUGGGCAAAGACUCCACUUCAACCCCACUUCUGUUCGCUCUGUGACUAUAAGACUAGUCUUUGGGCUCAUUUUCCUCUCACAUUGAUGCAAACCCACAAUGAGGUCCAAAUCGAUUCCUGUGUUCCCUUUGGUCGAUGGUUUUAUGCACUAUUAGACUCCACAAGGAGAGCUGCGUGUUAUUUGGGACCCCUUGUACUCCUCUUGCUUGAGGGUCAAGAUCAGCUGGGAUGCUUGAGCUGACGGGGCAUAGAUUUGCAUGUCAGGAGGCGGCAAUAUGGUGUUCAUGGUGACUCUGGAACUCAGCCA